RNAcentral lists this ribosomal RNA (468 nucleotides) under uncultured bacterium. Its description in RNAcentral is "partial 16S ribosomal RNA". It matches the Rfam family "Bacterial small subunit ribosomal RNA", at positions 28 to 507 of the family's 1533-position model. The record is from RNAcentral.
GACGAACGCUGGCGGCGUGCUUAACACAUGCAAGUCGAACGGAAAGGCCCUGCUUUUGUGGGGUGCUCGAGUGGCGAACGGGUGAGUAACACGUGAGUAACCUGCUCUUGACUUUGGGAUAACUUCAGGAAACUGGGGCUAAUACCGGAUAGGAGCUCCUGCUGCAUGGUGGGGGUUGGAAAGUUUCGGCGGUUGGGGAUUGACUCGCGGCUUAUCAGCUUGUUGGUGGGGUAGUGGCUUACCAAGGCUUUGACGGGUAGCCGGCCUGGGGGGGUGACCGGCCACAUUGGGACUGAGAUCCGGCCCAGCCUCCUACGGGAGGCAGCAGUGGGGAUUAUUGCACAAUGGGCGGAAGCCUGAUGCAGCACCGCCGCGUGCGGGUUGACGGCCUUCGGUUUGUAAACCGCUUUCGCCUGUGACGAAGCGUGAGUGACGGUAAUGGGUAAAGAAGCACCGGCUAACUACGUG